This 322-nucleotide ribosomal RNA is filed under the name uncultured bacterium. Its description in RNAcentral is "bacterial SSU rRNA". It matches the Rfam family "Bacterial small subunit ribosomal RNA", at positions 28 to 334 of the family's 1533-position model. The record is from RNAcentral.
GAUGAACGCUGGCGGCGUGCUUAACACAUGCAAGUCGAACGAGGUACAAGGACGGAAGUUUUCGGACGGAAGACCUUGUACUGAGUGGCGGACGGGUGAGUAACGCGUGGGAAACCUGCCCUGUUCCGGGGGAUACCAGUUGGAAACGACUGUUAAUACCGCAUAAGCGCACAGCACCGCAUGGUGCAGUGUGAAAACUCCGGUGGAACAGGAUGGUCCCGCGUCUGAUUAGGCAGUUGGCAGGGUAACGGCCUACCAAACCGACGAUCAGUAGCCGGCCUGAGAGGGUGAACGGCCACAUUGGGACUGAGACACGGCCCAA